Molecule: small nucleolar RNA, 82 nt
Organism: Amphiprion ocellaris (clown anemonefish)
Lineage: Eukaryota; Metazoa; Chordata; Actinopteri; Pomacentridae
Product: Small nucleolar RNA SNORD60
Source: Ensembl
AGCCACUGAUGACAAACUAAAUAACUUUUCUGACACCUCGUAUGAGAGCAAAGCUCCUGAUUCUAACGCUACUCUGAGGCUC